This 445-nucleotide ribosomal RNA is filed under the name uncultured bacterium. RNAcentral describes it as "bacterial SSU rRNA". It matches the Rfam family "Bacterial small subunit ribosomal RNA", at positions 330 to 792 of the family's 1533-position model. The record is from RNAcentral.
CCCAGACUCCUACGGGAGGCAGCAGUGGGGGAUAUUGCACAAUGGGGGGAACCCUGAUGCAGCGACGCCGCGUGGGUGAAGAAGCGCCUCGGCGCGUAAAGCCCUGUCAGCAGGGAAGAAAAUGACGGUACCUGAAGAAGAAGCCCCGGCUAACUACGUGCCAGCAGCCGCGGUAAUACGUAGGGGGCGAGCGUUAUCCGGAUUCACUGGGUGUAAAGGGAGCGUAGACGGCCAUGCAAGCCAGGGGUGAAAGCCCGGGGCCCAACCCCGGGACUGCCCUUGGAACUGCAUGGCUGGAGUGCGGGAGGGGCAGGCGGAAUUCCUGGUGUAGCGGUGAAAUGCGUAGAUAUCAGGAGGAACACCGGCGGCGAAGGCGGCCUGCUGGGCUGCAACUGACGUUGAGGCUCGAAAGCGUGGGGAGCAAACAGGAUUAGAUACCCGUGUA